UUGCAUAGAGACAUUGUGUGGCUAAACUGCAGCUGCUAUAAAAGUGCCAGUGUCCCUGUGCCAUAUUAAUGAUCUGUAUGUGUCACAGUGCAUAGAUAGAGACAUGUCUUAUCCCACUGAUCUACUGCUGCUGCUGGGGAUCCUCCUGAUCUUUAGCCAGGGUUCCUAUGGGCAGAUUGUACUGACUCAGUCUCCAGAUUAUGUCUCUGUGUCACCAGGAGAAACUGUCACCAUCACAUGUAAAGCCAGUAGCAGUGUUAGCAGCAAUCUCAACUGGUACCAACAGAAAUCAGGGCAGGCACCAAAGCUGCUGAUCUAUUUGGCAAACAGGCGACACACAGGGACCCCAGAGCGUUUCAGCGGCAGUGGGUCUGGAACAGAUUACUCUCUUACAAUCAGCAGAAUGGAAGCAGAAGAUGCAGCAGAUUAUUACUGUCAGCAGAGCAGGGAUUACCCUCUCACACAGUGAUACAGAGCUGAACAAAAACCUUCCUCUUUCAGCUUGAAUGCAGAUCAGACUAAAACAUAACUCAGGACUCACUGUACCAGAAGAUUGUUGGCUUCAUACUCUGUACUCUAUAUAACCCAUACACACUAAGAUACAACUGCAUCAUCAGGGAUACUUUACAUAGCAUGUGUGUGUAUUUCAAUUCGUAAAAAAGAGAAAACUAAAGGGGAAGAAAAAAAGAAAUCAAGGUGCAUGAAAAAUCCAGUAUUAAAGGUGCAGUAUUCCCCUUUUUUGAACAUGAGUUAAAUGAAUAGGGAUUGUGCUGAAUAUAGAAUACUAUUUACAUGUUGUAAUUAUGAAAUAUAGUUUUGUUUUUGUUAUUUUAUAACUAAACAUAGCAUUGCAAUUAAAGUGAAAGUCACAUUCUAAUU
Non-coding RNA from Xenopus laevis (African clawed frog), 879 nucleotides. Lineage: Eukaryota; Metazoa; Chordata; Amphibia; Anura; Pipidae. The record is from the annotation of a RefSeq genome assembly.